RNAcentral lists this ribosomal RNA (520 nucleotides) under uncultured bacterium. Its description in RNAcentral is "bacterial SSU rRNA". It matches the Rfam family "Bacterial small subunit ribosomal RNA", at positions 76 to 591 of the family's 1533-position model. The record is from RNAcentral.
GAGCUUGCUMSUUGUGKKGCGAGUGACGGACGGGUGAGGAAUACAUCGGAAUCUACCUUUUCGUGGGGGAUAACGUAGGGAAACUUACGCUAAUACCGCAUACGACCUUCGGGUGAAAGUAGGGGAUCGSAAGACCUUACGCGGAUAGAUGAGCCGAUGUCGGAUUAGCUWGUUGGCGGGGUAAARGCCCACCAAGGCKACGAUCCGUAGCUGGUCUGAGAGGAUGAUCAGCCACACUGGAACUGAGACACGGUCCAGACUCCUACGGGAGGCAGCAGUGGGGAAUAUUGGACAAUGGGCGCAAGCCUGAUUCCAGCCAUACCGCGUGGGUGAAGAAGGCCUUCGGGUUGUAAGCCCUUUUGUUGGGAAAGAAAUCCUGYCGGCUAAUACCCGGUAGGGAUGACGGUACCCAAAGAAUAACACCGGCUAACUUCGUGCCAGCAGCCGCGGUAAUACGAAGGGUGCAAGCGUUACUCGGAAUUACUGGGCGUAAGCGUGCGUAGGUGGUUCGUUAAGUCUG